This 66-nucleotide transfer RNA is filed under the name Paradoxopsyllus custodis. RNAcentral's name for it is "tRNA-Glu". The record is from RNAcentral. RNAcentral also lists the same sequence under 1 other name. Lineage: Eukaryota; Metazoa; Arthropoda; Insecta; Siphonaptera; Leptopsyllidae.
AUUUAUAUAGUUUAUAAUAAAACAUUACAUUUUCAUUGUAAAAUUAAGAUAUAUUCUUUUUAAAUA